Molecule: long non-coding RNA, 497 nt
Organism: Seriola aureovittata
Lineage: Eukaryota; Metazoa; Chordata; Actinopteri; Carangiformes; Carangidae
Exons: 3
Source: RefSeq, a predicted model, not a curated record
GUCUAUGUGGCGUAUCUCUUCGUCCAUUGUUUGGCUAUUCUGUCAUGCUCUGUUCUGUUGGUCAGGUACUGUGUGGCGAUGCUUCCCACCAGAGGGUCGGCUGAAAGGCACAAAGAGAGAGAACGCGUGAGCUAUUGAUGUGGAUCUUACCUGGGUUACAGUCUGUGAGCAGGGAGCAGAUGGACAGCAGCACCUUGGAGAUGGUGAGGGCGGGGCUCCAGUUGUCCUUCAGGAUGUCCAGGCAGAUCACCCCCUGACUGUUGAUGUUGCAGUGAUAGAUCCUCGUACGAAAAGUUACCUGCAGUCAAUCCACCAAGAUCUGAAGGAACGCCUGAGGGGAAGCUCAGUCGUAAACUAUGUGGAAUAAAUUGUUCAAUAACUGGCUCCAAACCAGCACUUGGUGUGAAACUAACUCCUCCUGAGUGAAAUGUCAGUUAAAUAUUAUUUCUUUAAAUGAAAAUAAAUAAAUAAAGAUAAUAAAUCACAAUUGCCCAACA